Molecule: non-coding RNA, 29 nt
Filed under: Bombyx mori (domestic silkworm)
Lineage: Eukaryota; Metazoa; Arthropoda; Insecta; Lepidoptera; Bombycidae
Source: RNAcentral
UAAGAUCGGGACUAAACGACGGCCAGUCU